CACAAUACAGUUGAUGAUUUCAAAACUUUUGUAUUACUUAAAGUGAGGGAAGAGGGUUCAUUUCAUGUUGGUGGUAAGUGCGUUGUUUUAGUUGUGAAAAUAGUCCCACAUCGUUUACAUGAAAGAAAUAUUCACUGUUUAUAUUACGCUAGCACACUCCAACUAACGUCCCUUCGGGGACAUCCGAUAAAAUUGGAACGAUACAGAGAAGAUUAGCAUGGCCCCUGCGCAAGGAUGACACGCACAAAUCGAGAAAUGGUCCAAAUUUUUUUUGUCAUUUUUUUCCUUCGAUUUUCCCUCUUCACCCGCGUUUUCCCUUUUGAAGAACCUUAUUCAUCUCCAUUUCCCCCACUUGAUGUCUCAAUUAAUUUAAAUUUCUGUACUUAAUUUUAGGGUUUUUAUUUUUGAAGCUGAAAGUGUAAUAAGUAUCAAAGAUUACAAACAAAACCCUGGAUGGAUUAACGAGAAGAUGAAGCUAAUGCACUUGCAGUGAAGAGAAUCUGCACUGUAAAUAUUUUAUGGUGAGAAAAUUCUGAUACAGGAAACAAGUAAAGGAGAGUAUUUUGCAAUAAAAAAAUUAACAGGGCCAAUUAUUUAAACUUUAUUUAUCAGUGUGAUUUCAUGGCUGCUCACAUUUCUAUGUGUGAUACUGAAUAUCUUUUGACCUUUGCUGCAAAUGUGUUUGACUUUGACAUAAUCAUCUGGCCUAAUAUCAUAUACCAGCACAGUACUGGAUUCACAUUUACUAGCUCGCAGGGCAAAAGCUCUAGCUGGUUUGUCUUCAUUAAGUACUGGUCUUUCCUGUGUUGUGAGUUAUAUCUUCAAUCUUGGGCGAGCUGAACGGGUACCGGCUGCAAUUCCACUGACAUGAGGACAUGUCAUUGAGGUGUCAAACAUGAUAGAGAAGUCAGUCUUCUGGUGUUCUCUGGAAGGCUUAUCGGACCAAGGUUCUGAGGCCAUGCAGCAAUAAUGUUGACUGUGGAGCUAUAAAAUUUGGUUUAAGGAUUGAAUGGUUUGUAAACUUUUCCCUCUAACUGAGAAUCUUGCUAAUGCUGGUGCUAUAGACUUCCCUAUUAUUGUUUCUCCAAAUUCAAUCUGAGAAAGUGGCCGUGUUGUGGAGUUUAUGUAAGAUUUCAAGGGGAUUGAUUCAUCAAAUCCUACUAAUGUUGCAGGCAAGACAUGAACAUCAAUUGAAUCUUCUUCCAAGUUAAGCUCUGUGUUUGCCAAGAUCAUAGCAGUACUACUUGCUUCAUUCACAACUUGACCCUUUUCUGAUCUUCCAUUGACACCUCAAUCGCAUAUGACCGUUUUGCCUUGAAAUUUGACCUUUGGAAGAGAGUAUUGAGGCAAAUUGACUCUCACUAUCUCCACCACUUAGGUAAACCGGCUCAAGUUCUUUGCCAUUGCUUGCUAUAAUGUUUACAAGAUACAUGGAUUCUCCAUAGAGAACUUGUCCAUUAUCCAUGUUCUGAUGAGUGGUAAGAUUGAGAUUUGGUGCUUUGGUAACUAUCUUGGUCGUAUUCAACAACAGAGACCCUGUCGUUCUUUGCUAAAUUGUGUUUGCGGCUUGUUAUUGAUUUGGGGUGGAAAGAAAAUGCUCGCUGCUGUGAGUGAAAUUACCAACAAACUCAAAGCUAAAACAUUCACCAUUGUUGCUUGGGAAUGGGAGUGUCCUGUCAAGUGUGCUGGCACCAAUAGUGGUAUCCAGGAGCCAUUGUUUCCAGACAGAACUUGCACCAAUAGUGGUACCACCAGUAAUGUAUCAGUAAGAGAUGCCUAAUACAUGCUGCUAGUAACAGUAUAUUACAAUAUUGACUGAAUUCUAGCCCAGGAAAUGCUGCAAAAAUUGUGAAAUGGAAAAAGGACGAUCUAAGAAGUUGGAUGAAAGUUACAAACAGCAGAAAGACUUUCCAACAGAUUCACCGAAGAAAUGUUAUGUGAGAAACUGUAAUGUGUGUAUUAUAAUCAAAACUAGGCCAUUAGCUGAUUCAGUGAUAAUUCAUUAGUGAUAAGCUGAUUAAGUACAUCAUUGUCCAGAAAUUGCUACCGUUGAUCAUUAAUGCAGCAUGCCAAAUGUCUUGAAUAUAUUUUGAGCAAUUGAAUAA
Long non-coding RNA from Medicago truncatula (barrel medic), 2105 nucleotides. RefSeq lists it as uncharacterized. NCBI's taxonomy places the organism in Eukaryota, Viridiplantae, Streptophyta, Magnoliopsida, Fabales, Fabaceae. The record is from RefSeq and is a predicted model, not a curated record. The transcript is spliced from 2 exons.